This 30-nucleotide non-coding RNA is filed under the name Mus musculus (house mouse). Lineage: Eukaryota; Metazoa; Chordata; Mammalia; Rodentia; Muridae. The record is from RNAcentral.
UCUUUACACAGAAGAAAUCUGUGGGACUGA